RNAcentral lists this transfer-messenger RNA (399 nucleotides) under Flavobacteriales bacterium. It matches the Rfam family "transfer-messenger RNA". From Rfam's summary of the family: Bacterial tmRNA, also known as 10Sa RNA or SsrA, is named for its dual tRNA and mRNA-like properties. Its role is to liberate the mRNA from a stalled ribosome. The record is from RNAcentral. Lineage: Bacteria; Pseudomonadati; Bacteroidota; Flavobacteriia; Flavobacteriales. RNAcentral also lists the same sequence under 1 other name.
GGGGCCGACUUUGGAUUUGACGGCAAGAGAAAUGAUCCUGUAAGCAUAUCGAGUGUUGUGAAUGUGACUCGUAAAUCUCUAUUCUCAUCUCUAUAAACGGAGAAAACAACUACGCACUUGCUGCUUAAUCACAAGAUGUGAUUCGGCUUAAUCCCAUACAAGGUAUGCGGACAAGUUGCCCCGCUCAUGACUACCUGUUCAGCGGUUGUGAGCAACGGGGUAUCGUUGGCCUGAACUAGUUGAAGUUUUGCUUCGAGACAGAUACGAAAUUUUAGAAGCUAAGUCAUAGUUAGGCUGUUUGUGGUCAGGCUAUGGUCGAAAACCAAACACAAAAUAAGUAUGUAGAAAGCUUGGUCGUUCCUUGUUUGGACGAGGGUUCGAACCCCUCCGGCUCCACCU